This is a long non-coding RNA of Triticum aestivum (bread wheat), 1941 nucleotides long. RefSeq lists it as uncharacterized. The transcript has 3 exons. The record is from RefSeq and is a predicted model, not a curated record. NCBI's taxonomy places the organism in Eukaryota, Viridiplantae, Streptophyta, Magnoliopsida, Poales, Poaceae.
CUUUAUAACACGCGGGAGACGAAGGGUCAGGGCUUUCUCGAGUUCUUUUGUCAAGGACUCGGAAAGCUGUCUACGUGGUGAUUUAAGAAAAACUGUAAAUGUCUGACGGAGAUUAUGCCGAGUCCCAUUUUACAGGCGCUCAGCAAAAGCGGUUCACUGUGACGGAGCAGAUGCCAGCUACCGCGAUCACCACGUGGCGCCAGAUUUGCUGGGUGCCUUCAAUCCAGCACAACUUGACAUAGGUCAUAUAUAAGCCAAGUUUAUUUUGCUUGCCAAGUCCUUAUUGUCCGGCUCUCGUCAACGGCAAGUCUUUGCCGAGUUCGAACUGUUACCGAGAUCUGUACUCAGCUUACAUAGUCAUUACCAAGAGCCCGUGUUGGGGAACUCGGCGAAACGGUAAGCACUCGACACAGAGGGAUUUUCCAGUAGUGUAUGGACAUGUCAUUUACAUAGGCAUUUCGACAACGCCCGACUCACUUUAGCCAACCUCCUUGACAAUAUCCAGUCGAAGUUAGGCUAGGGGCAAUGGCGGGUGGGAGGGCUGGGGUCGCUACCAGUUGAGACGGUGCCUAUUAGUGGCAUCCUAUUGUGAUUCUGGGUGUCUUUCAUCUUUGAGUUUGUACAAACUCUUCUUUCUAUCAAUGCUUCAAGACGCAAGGCUCUGCAUUUUGUCCAAAGAAAAAAAGGCAUGGACGUCUAGUACUGGUCAAAAUUCUUGAUGUCAACUUGACAGUACAAUGUACUAAAAGAAAGAACUGUAAUUGGACGUCCAAAUCAUCUUUGAAACAAUGUUGAGCAAUGAAGGUACAGCAUUUAUGCCCAUCACAUCAGCUACCAAAAUGGUAUAAUGGAUACGCUGCAACAAGUUGACAACUGAAACGUUAGGAAUAAUCCCAAGCAUUACAUCUAAUCUACCUCAUGUGUAAACACUUGUUCGUGUUGUUUUCAUUUCACCCUUUUCAGCCAUGAUGAUGUGCCAGGGUCCUGGGUGAAGACCCUUCUCCGCCUCGGACUUGGCAGCGGCGACGCUUAGUGCCGUUUACCUCCCGAGGGCGUUGUCAUGGAGCUUAGGUGUCCUACGGCGUGUCGUGGUGGUGUUUUUAGGCCUACCUAUGUGUUCUUUUCUUAGAAACGUAGGCGUGUGCGUUUAUGUUGUCCGGCUAUCCUGGAAUCUGCUUUGCAAAGGGCUUCCUCACCUUAUAUCGUUCGGCCGUGUAUUUUGAUUUGUGCUUUAUCUAUAAAGUGGGGUAAGAGCACAUGCUUCGAGAAAAUGAUGAUCCAUGUGUAAUUCUUAAAAAACUGUCUGCACACCAAGAAUGGCGUCGCCUCCUUUUAAGGCUUCUAUUGUUGGACAGGGACCUCCUGAGAGCCAAUGAGAUCUGCUCGUGUAAUGGUCCAUCAACUUGCCUCCAGCGCGCACAUAGAAGACCAGCGGUAUUGCAACGCAAAUCCUUAAAUGAGAAGGGAGAAGGCCACAUGGUGCGGGCCUCUGGGGCAGCAUACCAUGACUGCAUGACGGAGAUAACUACUAGGAUAAACUAAGAAAAUGUACGUCUGAAUGCAAGAGCUCAGAGCGAACCUAGAUGGUGCACUUAUUACAUGUACAUGGAGCGCCAACUGGCAACAUGUUUGAGUGGUCACAGCAAAGGACUUGUGUGGCACCUGCAAAUUGAGCACAUGAUGGCUGUCUUGUCUUGCUAGGUUGUCCGUCAUUGAAGAAAGCAAUUCGGUUAUGAGAUGAUUACCCAGAAACCAGUGAACUGGACUGUGCACCAGAGCUGAUGGAAGCGUCUUAACAUCCUCUACGGAUGCUUAUGUUUUUUCUUCUUUUUCUUUAGAUGACACAUUGCUUGUGUUAAUACGGUGGUGGUAUCAGUGAGCUAUGCACCAAACAGACAACAUGAGAGGACAGAAAUAGUGAAAUAAUCGAUGUGGUUGAGC